Elaeis guineensis (African oil palm) is the source of this 106-nucleotide small nucleolar RNA. The record is from RefSeq and is a predicted model, not a curated record. Lineage: Eukaryota; Viridiplantae; Streptophyta; Magnoliopsida; Arecales; Arecaceae.
ACUACAUGGUAUGGGCACUUACGAAUGAUGUCCUUAUGUCUCUCUCAUAUUUUAUAGAAUAGUUCUCCAUCUAUUUGGAAAAAACUAGUGAUAACUUUUCUAAUUU